UAGUUGACACACAUGUUACAUGAGUUUCAGGUGCACAAUGUAGUGAUUCAACAAGUGUAUACAUUAUGCUAAAUUCACCAAGUGUAGAUAUCUUGUAUCAUAAUACACUGCUAUUACAGUAUCAUUGACUGUAUUCCUUAUGCUGUGCCUUUUAUUCCCGUGAUUUAUUCAUUCCAUAACUGGAAGCCUGUAUCUCUCACUUCUUUUCACCCAUUUUGCCCAGCCCCCUACCUCCCUCCCCUCUGGCAAACCUCAGUUUAUUCUUUCCAUUUAUGAGUCUGUUUUUGUUUUUUGUUUGUUUUAAUUUUUAGAUCCCAUAUCUAAGUGAAAUCAUAUGAUAUAUGACUUUCUUUGGCUUAUUUCACUUAGCAUAAUACCCUCUAGGUUCAUCCAUGUUGUCUCAAAUGGCACAAUCUCAUCUUUUUUAUGGCUAUACAAUAUUCCAUAAUAUUAUGGAAUUUUUUUGCUACAGAAUAUUCCAAAAUAUGUACAUAUACAUAUAUAUAUAUUCUAACAUAUAUAUAAUAUUCUAUAUAUGUACAUACUGAUAGACACAUGGAUUGCUUUCAUAACUUAGCUAUGGUAAAUAAUACUGCAAUAAACAUAAGGGUGCAUAUAAUCUUUUCAAAUUAGUGCCUUCAUUUUCUUUGGGCAAAUACCCAGUAGUGGAAUUAUUGGAUCAUAUGGUAGUUCUAUUUUCAAUCAUUUGAGAAAAAACUUUUUCCAUAGUGGCUACAACAGUGUAUAAUCUCACUAAUAGUGUGAAAAAGGUCCCUUUUCUCCAUCUCCUCACCAACACUUGUUUCUUUUCUCUUUGAUACUGGCCAUAUCUGACUGGUAGAAGAUAAUAUCUCAUUAUGGUUUUAAUUUGCAUUUCCCUGAUGAAUAGUGAUGCUAACCAUAUUUUCAUGCAUCUCUUGGCCAUUUGUAUGUCUUCAAGGCAUGUGCUUUUGAUUGAAACUGUUUGCUAUAAAGAUAAUAUGAAUUUAAAACUUCCCUCCAAUAGCCAACUCUACCACUAAUCAGGAAGACAUUGCCUGAGAUUAAAGCUAUUAUAGAAGAAAGACGAGAUGAUGGAUGAGGAGAGAAUAAGUGACCUCAGGGCAUCCAUUUAGCCAAAAGGUAGCUCUACUCCCUAUGCUUCUCAGUUAUGUAAACCAAUAAAUCCAUUUUCCCCAAACUAACUAGAUUAGGACUUUUGUCAUUUGCAACUAAGAGUCCUGAAUAAUACAUUUGGUCAGUACUCACAUGUCACCUUAUAAAUGUUCUCUAGCUUUUUCAUACGUACAUUCUUUCUGAUUACACAAUAAUACCUUUAAGGAAAAGACACCAUGUGAUUAAUUUCUUUUUUAAAUCGUGUAGUUCCAAUAGAAAAUUACAGCUCCAAUACAAAAUUAAAUGGAAAUUUAGAGAGAAAGUCAACAAAUUAGUUUAUAGUAGAAUAAAAACCUAUAGUCACCUGUUUCUUUCAGUUUUAUGGCCAUAUUUAAUUAUUUUCCUCCAAAAGUACUUAAGGGUUACACCAUUCCAGGCAAAAUGUCAUACAAAUAACUGAACAGAGCUGGCUUCCAGGCACUUAGCAGCUUUUCAGAGGUUUUUAGCUUUUAUGUUAAAGGCCCAUUUCAAACACUAUACUUCUUGUUACAUACAAAGUGUUCCAAACUCACAAAACUGAACAAGCUAGCAAUAGUUACAGUACCAUCAUGAGUGUCACGUGACAACCUUUUCCCAUGUCAUUAAAAGCAUGAAUUCCAACAGCAGUAUUAAUAGUCCAUCUCUCAUUCUUCUAUCAUGAUUUCAAAAGUAUUUACUUCUGUGACUCUAAUCUCUUAUAAUACUCUUGGUUUGAUGAUUAUUAAUAACCAAAGGUCCACUACUAAAUAUUUGUGAACUUAGUGGGAUCAAAAACAUUCCAAUUUUGUUUUCCAGCCCAUUUACUGCUAAACACACCACAUUAAGUCA
RNAcentral lists this long non-coding RNA (1962 nucleotides) under Canis lupus familiaris (dog). Its description in RNAcentral is "lncRNA (ENSCAFG00845002017.1)". Lineage: Eukaryota; Metazoa; Chordata; Mammalia; Carnivora; Canidae. The record is from RNAcentral.